Long non-coding RNA from Oncorhynchus nerka (sockeye salmon), 1868 nucleotides. RefSeq lists it as uncharacterized. Lineage: Eukaryota; Metazoa; Chordata; Actinopteri; Salmoniformes; Salmonidae. The record is from RefSeq and is a predicted model, not a curated record. The transcript has 2 exons.
UUCCAUUCUCUCUCUCUCUCGUAGAGUAGGCCAGAAGGCUAAACUGGAUAACCUAACCUCUAUCAAAAUAAAAAGAUGGCGGAGCCGCAAAAGUUCUUCUGUGCAAAGGUGUUUAUUUACAAGUGAUUCCGGAACAAAAAACAACAGUACUGCCAUCAACGUCUACCUUAUGGGACAGCUUAAAAACAAUGCUGCCCCAUCCACAGCUCAAUCCAAAAUGCCUCUCCAUAACUGAAAGAGAGGCUCCUUUUGUAGGGCUAGCCCCUCCCCUCAGAACAAUUAACCCUAAUUAAUUAAUCAAUUAACAAUACAAACCUACAUUUUCCAUGAACUAAACAUACUAAAGGAUAUACAUUGCAACACGGUUUUAAACAAUAUCACAACAUUACAUCACUACUGACAAUAUCUUUCAAUAUGCCCGUAUGCAUUAAUGAGCCAUUUGGGACAGGCACUAUAAAGCCAACCCAAUUCCCUUAGCUCGGGUCCUUUUCCAGCAUACCCGGAAGCUACAGAGAUGGAGAGAGAGGAACAGAACAAACAAACAAUGCGCUCAUCCACAACAUUGAUAAGUGCUAGUAGACCUGAGCUCUAAGAACGUUCGGGGUCUGUACGAGGCACAGGUCAAGGUGGUGGUGGGGGGUCGACCUCUGACCUUUUACAGCCUGGUGGGUUUGGAGAACGGGUCCUUCUACCGUAGAAUGCCACGCAUCAUCGCUCUGGCGCUGGGAGCUCUCAAAACGUAAACACUAUCAACAACAGAACAAACACACGUCAAAGACUCAGUGAAGAAGUGGUCUGGAGUCAGCUUGUGGCGGCAGAGACCAUAGACAUUAUCUGCUGUGGAAAUGAACCCAGAAGUGACCAGGAGACUGGAGACUACUCAUUCAGAUGGGAGGAGAGAGGGCAGGCGGUGGGCAUUCUAGGAGAACUAAACAUAAUAUACACACACACACACACAUAGAGCUGCCAUAUCUGUGUCAGUAUAUCACCUGUGAUUCUCUCAAAGCAACUCUGCUUGUACUCUCUGAAGAACACAGACAGGAGUGGGACAUUACAAUAUGAUAUAAUUUCAGCCCACUGGAGAGCCUGACCUCUGACCUCUAUCUGUACACACAGCCUUGAAUGUGUGCCUUGCAACCGUUCAUGGAGAUAUCUUGUUGUUCUCCAUGGCUGGCAUAAUACAGUGAGACGCAGCCCAUUCUAUGAGCCGGUUUAAAUUAAAAAAUGUCUGUCUUUUGAAAACAAUCCUAAAGCAUUGAUUGUACAUGCUGUACGUUGGUAUCUUCGUUUUGCUAUAUUUAUUUGCAUAGAGAGACAUGCUUUGUAUUUUUGUAAAAAAUCUCAGUAAAAUUAUUAUCUUCUGUGCUUGGCGAUACAGUAUGCUGUAAGGUAAUGUGAAGUGGUGAUACAGUAUGCUGUAAGGUAAUGUGAAGUGGUGAUACAGUAUGCUGUAAGGUAAUGUGAAGUGGUGAUACAGUAUGCUGUAAGGUAAUGUGAAGUGGUGAUACAGUAUGCUGUAAGGUAAUGUGAAGUGGUGAUACAGUAUGCUGUAAGGUCAUGUGAAGUGGUGAUACAGUAUGCUGUAAGGUAAUGUGAAGUGGUGAUACAGUAUGCUGUAAGGUAAUGUGAAGUGGUGAUACAGUAUGCUGUAAGGUAAUGUGAAGUGGUGAUACAGUAUGUUGUAAGGUAAUGUGAAGUGGUGAUAUAGUAUGCUGUAAGGUAAUGUGAAGUGGUGAUACAGUAUGCUGUAAGGUAAUGUGAAGUGGUGAUACAGUAUGCUGUAAGGUAAUGUGAAGUGCACAGCAGUGAACGCUUGUCCUUGUUUCAACUCUGAUCUCAUUCAUUUAUAAAUUAUUUUUAAAAAUCUA